Molecule: non-coding RNA, 55 nt
Organism: Dipodomys ordii (Ord's kangaroo rat)
Lineage: Eukaryota; Metazoa; Chordata; Mammalia; Rodentia; Heteromyidae
Source: Rfam
GGGAAGUUGGCUCAGUGGUAGAGCGCUUGCCUUGCAUGCAUGAGGCCCUGGGUUC